Molecule: ribosomal RNA, 1550 nt
Filed under: Lactiplantibacillus plantarum
Lineage: Bacteria; Bacillati; Bacillota; Bacilli; Lactobacillales; Lactobacillaceae
Description: Lactobacillus plantarum partial 16S rRNA
Rfam family: Bacterial small subunit ribosomal RNA
Source: RNAcentral
UAGAGUUUGAUCAUGGCUCAGGACGAACGCUGGCGGCGUGCCUAAUACAUGCAAGUCGAACGAACUCUGGUAUUGAUUGGUGCUUGCAUCAUGAUUUACAUUUGAGUGAGUGGCGAACUGGUGAGUAACACGUGGGAAACCUGCCCAGAAGCGGGGGAUAACACCUGGAAACAGAUGCUAAUACCGCAUAACAACUUGGACCGCAUGGUCCGAGCUUGAAAGAUGGCUUCGGCUAUCACUUUUGGAUGGUCCCGCGGCGUAUUAGCUAGAUGGUGGGGUAACGGCUCACCAUGGCAAUGAUACGUAGCCGACCUGAGAGGGUAAUCGGCCACAUUGGGACUGAGACACGGCCCAAACUCCUACGGGAGGCAGCAGUAGGGAAUCUUCCACAAUGGACGAAAGUCUGAUGGAGCAACGCCGCGUGAGUGAAGAAGGGUUUCGGCUCGUAAAACUCUGUUGUUAAAGAAGAACAUAUCUGAGAGUAACUGUUCAGGUAUUGACGGUAUUUAACCAGAAAGCCACGGCUAACUACGUGCCAGCAGCCGCGGUAAUACGUAGGUGGCAAGCGUUGUCCGGAUUUAUUGGGCGUAAAGCGAGCGCAGGCGGUUUUUUAAGUCUGAUGUGAAAGCCUUCGGCUCAACCGAAGAAGUGCAUCGGAAACUGGGAAACUUGAGUGCAGAAGAGGACAGUGGAACUCCAUGUGUAGCGGUGAAAUGCGUAGAUAUAUGGAAGAACACCAGUGGCGAAGGCGGCUGUCUGGUCUGUAACUGACGCUGAGGCUCGAAAGUAUGGGUAGCAAACAGGAUUAGAUACCCUGGUAGUCCAUACCGUAAACGAUGAAUGCUAAGUGUUGGAGGGUUUCCGCCCUUCAGUGCUGCAGCUAACGCAUUAAGCAUUCCGCCUGGGGAGUACGGCCGCAAGGCUGAAACUCAAAGGAAUUGACGGGGGCCCGCACAAGCGGUGGAGCAUGUGGUUUAAUUCGAAGCUACGCGAAGAACCUUACCAGGUCUUGACAUACUAUGCAAAUCUAAGAGAUUAGACGUUCCCUUCGGGGACAUGGAUACAGGUGGUGCAUGGUUGUCGUCAGCUCGUGUCGUGAGAUGUUGGGUUAAGUCCCGCAACGAGCGCAACCCUUAUUAUCAGUUGCCAGCAUUAAGUUGGGCACUCUGGUGAGACUGCCGGUGACAAACCGGAGGAAGGUGGGGAUGACGUCAAAUCAUCAUGCCCCUUAUGACCUGGGCUACACACGUGCUACAAUGGAUGGUACAACGAGUUGCGAACUCGCGAGAGUAAGCUAAUCUCUUAAAGCCAUUCUCAGUUCGGAUUGUAGGCUGCAACUCGCCUACAUGAAGUCGGAAUCGCUAGUAAUCGCGGAUCAGCAUGCCGCGGUGAAUACGUUCCCGGGCCUUGUACACACCGCCCGUCACACCAUGAGAGUUUGUAACACCCAAAGUCGGUGGGGUAACCUUUUAGGAACCAGCCGCCUAAGGUGGGACAGAUGAUUAGGGUGAAGUCGUAACAAGGUAGCCGUAGGAGAACCUGCGGUUGGA